RNAcentral lists this ribosomal RNA (1572 nucleotides) under Triticum aestivum (bread wheat). RNAcentral describes it as "partial small subunit ribosomal RNA". Lineage: Eukaryota; Viridiplantae; Streptophyta; Magnoliopsida; Poales; Poaceae. The record is from RNAcentral.
AUGAAUCCCAGAGAUUCCGACGACGACCGCCCCGGGGCGGCGGCGGGUUCGUCUUCGGCGGCCACGGAGCAGCAGCAAUCGCUCGAGUGGAGGUUCGCGCAGGUCUUCGGCGAGCGCGCGGCGGGCGAGGACGUGCAGGAAGUUGACAUCAUCUCUGCAAUCGAGUUUGAUAAAUCUGGUGAUCAUCUUGCCACCGGAGACAGAGGAGGACGUGUUGUUUUAUUUGAGAGAACAGAUGUUCGGGAUGAGCAUGCUAAUCGAAGAGAACUGGAGAGACAGGAUGUUCCAAUUACUAGACAUCCCGAGUUCCGCUAUAAAACGGAGUUUCAGAGUCAUGAACCUGAGUUUGACUACCUCAAAAGUUUGGAAAUAGAGGAGAAGAUCAACAAGAUCAAGUGGUGCCAGACAGCCAACAAUGCACUCUUUCUACUGUCCACAAAUGAUAAGACGAUCAAAUACUGGAAGGUGCAAGAGAAAAAAGUAAAACAAGUUUCAGUUAUGGCUUUGGACACUUCCCGAACUGUAGGGGAUGGUACCACUAGUCGUGCAAGUACCAGUACUUCCGAGCCUCCUCUUCCAAAUGGUGGAUGUUCAAAAAAGUCUGAUAGCCUCAACAGUGAUCUCCUAUUUCCACCUGGAGGUUACCCAUCGCUGCGUUUACCUGUGGUUACUAGUCAAGAUGUGAACCUUGUUGCUAGAUGUCGACGUGUAUAUGCCCAUGCUCAUGAUUACCAUAUUAAUUCUAUUUCGAAUAAUAGUGAUGGUGAAACUUUUAUAUCAGCAGAUGAUCUGCGAAUAAAUCUAUGGAAUUUGGAAAUAAACAGCCAGAGCUUUAACAUUGUUGAUGUGAAGCCUACAAACAUGGAAGAUCUAACAGAGGUGAUUACUUGUGCGGAGUUCCACCCCACUCAUUGUAAUACACUGGCAUAUAGUAGCUCAAAGGGUUCUAUCCGGCUAAUCGAUCUGCGACAAUCUGCAUUGUGUGACAACCAUUCCAAGAUAUUUGAGGAACAUGAAGCACCCGGAGCAAGAUCGUUCUUUACGGAGAUAAUAGCAUCAAUUUCAGAUGUAAAGUUUUCAAGGGACGGAAGAUAUCUUCUUAGUCGUGAUUAUAUGACUCUCAAACUAUGGGAUCUAAACAUGGAUUCAGGCCCUGUUUCAACCUUCCAGGUCCAUGAACAUCUAAGACCAAGGCUUUGUGAUCUGUAUGAGAACGACUCAAUAUUUGACAAGUUUGAGUGUUGUCUUAGUGGGGAUGGACUUCAUGUUGCAACUGGCUCUUAUGGUAAUCUAUUCCGUGUUUUUGGUUCUACUCCUGGUAGCAUGGAGGUGACCACUUUGGAAGCCAGCAGGAACCCGAUGAGACGUCAGAUUGCAAACCCGACCAGACCCACUCGGGGGACGCUGACCUCUAUGACCCGUGGUGUGCGAAGAGGUGGGGAAAAUCUAGGUGUUGAUGCCAAUGGAAACUCAUUAGACUUCUCGACGAAGUUACUCCACCUCGCAUGGCACCCCACUGAGAAUUCCAUCGCAUGCGCUGCUGCAAAUAGCCUGUAUAUGUAUUAUGCAUAG